Non-coding RNA from Rhizobium sp. Root708, 122 nucleotides. The record is from Rfam. NCBI's taxonomy places the organism in Bacteria, Pseudomonadati, Pseudomonadota, Alphaproteobacteria, Hyphomicrobiales, Rhizobiaceae.
CUCUUCGUUAACCUUUCGAGAUCACUUUAGCUGCAGUGUUCGCUUCCUCCUUGACCACGGAUGUACUGGCAUCGACGCGAAGCGAAUGACGAAAGGCCGGAUUGAUCCGGCCUUUUUGUUUU